GAGAGAAGAGGGAGGCAGGAGCAAAAGAGUUUGGAGACCUUGCGGGUUACGCACAUCGAAAGCACCGAUGGCGCGAAAGGACCAUUAGCCAUAGUCCUGGGGAAAUACGCAGAAGCAGUAUUCCAUGUCUCUUCUCUGCCCUGUUAUUGAUGGGAAACCAACUGGACCGGAUCACACACCUGAACUACAGCGAGCUACCCACCGGGGAUCCAUCGGGCAUCGAGAAGGACGAGUUGCGUGUUGGCGUGGCGUACUUCUUUUCCGAUGAGGAGGAAGAACUGGACGAUAGAUCUCAGUCGGACAGCUUUAAAGACAACAACAGCCCGAGCAAGGACGGUCCGGUGGCGCUCAAUGAGAUCGAGUACUCGGCGUUCUGCUGCCAGGAAUGUAUAUAUUCCAAACUGCGGGAGAACGAGGACCUGAAUGUCUAUUCGGUGAAAACUUUAUUAACCAUGUGCAAACCCGGGGAUCUACUGGAGUUCGUGGCCAACGCGCAGGCCCCGCACUGGGCGAUCUUUGAAGGGGAGGACCAGGUUAUUCACCUGUACAAAGGGGAGAUCCGCAAGGCCAGCUUGUUUGAGAUCAGCUGCGGUCGGCAGGGCAGGAUAGUAAACAAUCGUUACCGGUACCGGCCGCUGCCUGCUGAUUUGGUGAUGCAGAACGCGAGCGGGCACCUGGGGCUCAGCAGCGACGAGAUUUGCUGGACGAACUCGGAAAGUUUCGCCGCCUGGUGCCGCUUCGGGAAACGGGAAUUUAAAGCGGGCGGCGAGGUGCACUCGGUCGAGCAGCGAUACUUUCUAAAGGUGCACCUGUCCGAGAGCACCGUGCACACGCUCAUGUUCCGCAGCCUCGAAGAGAUGAUACGAGAGAGGCGGCGCGUGGACGCCAGUGGAAUUCUGAAGGAGCUGUCGCUGGUCAACGGGAAGGAAUGAGGGGGAUUUCAUAUAGUCUCGUUGUGGACCGAUUGGAACUCUGCAUGCCUUGAACAAGGGCUGCUUACCCUUACCUUAUGACUUUCGGAGGGACGUGCAUAUUUGUGUGAAAAUAUGGUACAAAGACAACGCCCCUUUUGAUUAUGGUGUGAGAACCGAUGACCCCACUAAAGUCACUCUGUACCUUUAAAACGGAAAAAGAUAAAAAAUUUAAGAUGUGCCAGUCUAAGCCGUUAAUAUGGAAAGUAGAAGACUGUGCAAAACUGCAAAUGAAAGAAAACAAGUGGGACGGGUUUCUAAUGGCUUGGGAAAGAUUGCACACCAACUGUCAGAUGAGUUCUUUGUUGAUGUUACAGGCUUAGCCUUGUUAGUGUACUGACAAGCACUGUUGAGAACUACCAGACGUUAACUAACACACACACACACACACACACAGUCUUGGUCCACAAUGCACCAUCAGUGCUAUCUAGGUGUGUUUCUCCACCACAUUGUUUGUCACAUUCACCAAAACCAGCAGCCCCAGUAACCUACUUUUCACUAGAUGAUUUGUGGGAUCUCCUUCCUCGACUUUACCCAACCCAACAACCCCCCCACCACGCCUGCCACCGCCGCCUCAGUUUAGCUUUUUCUGACGUGACAAUCAGUCAACUGUCCUGUACCAAUUCCUUUUUUUUUUUUUUACUUUGGCUGGAAAUUUAGGAUAGUGGAGCAGCGGGCUAUAUGUGGAGAAUGAGGACAGGAGUGAAAGAACAAUAGGAUGAGGGACUAGAUGUUGCCAACAUGAGUUGAACAGAAUAUCUUUAGCCUGAACAAAGUCUGUCUCACAGUGAUAUGCCGUAUGUGCCUCUGUGUGUGUUGAGAGAGCGAGAGCCUGUCACACUUCAUAACCUGUUACUGGGGAAACCUCAGCCAGUCAUUUAGCUUGCGCCUACUAAAUAUUAUUUUACUUAAAGCCUGGGGAGAGAGUGCAUGGAUUUCCAACCUCUUUAAUAAUGGCUUGUUGUUUUUGUGUUGAUUAAACCACUACAGAUAACACAUUUGCUUCUGCUGAGGGAGAAUCGUGCAUAACAUCUGUGCUCUGCAGAAGUCCUGCCUCUCUUUCAGCCUCAAUCGGAUAUUCGUUUAAACCAGCAGGCUAGCUGGUAAUCUGCAAUUCAGGCUCCUUUGUGCUUUUUUUCCUUUUGGACAAUUUAAAAAUAAUUUAUUGUGACAAGCUUAUAUUUCUGAAAGGAAGGUGUUUAGGUGAUUCUUAAAAUAAGUUCCAUGUAAAUGUAUUCUAUGAAGAACCUUCAAGUUCCAUACGUUGUCAAUACCAUGUUACUUGAAUAUGGUAAUCAUUUAAUACCAUGGUAGAUAUCAAAGUACCAUGGUAUUUACAGAUUAAACAUUUGUUGUAAAGCCCAAUGAAAAUUUUUUAGAUGUGUGUUUACUAUUGUUUGUUUUGUUUUUUUGCAUUGAAGCCACACUCAUUCUACCAUUUUACCUAUUCUUUUAUAAUUUAUUUGAAAUACCAUGUUAUUUUGGACCUUUGAAUUACCUUACUAUGUAAAUACCAUGUAAGAUGAAUUUGGUAAUCAUUGAGUACCUGAUACCAUCAUUGUACCAUGGUAAUGCCACAGACCUUUUUGAAAGGAGCAUCUUUAUCUGUAUGCAGAAGAAAUAAUCAUGAUAAUCUGUUACUGGUGUAUUCAUAAUGAUUCUGUACAACUAAGGGUUCAGUGAGGUGUGUAAACUAACAGAACAUACUGAAUUGGUCAGAACCAAAUUCAGUACGUUUACAUGAAGAAUGACUAACAGACCUAGAUAAUGCGAUUGUAGCUCAGUUUUGUUCAGCAUUUAAACACGUCAUUGGUUAUUUCAUUACAACUACUCGGGAAGCACCGCUUCCCCAAAGAAAUGCAGCAACCACAAGUUUUCUAUAUGUACAAGUAAUCUUUAUAAAUUGCAUAUGCAGUAUUUUAGUGAAUAAAAGUGUAAAAUCAUUAAAGCGCCAUUCUUUCAA
RNA transcript from Myxocyprinus asiaticus (Chinese sucker), 2934 nucleotides. It is a transcript of the gene named LRAT domain containing 1, with no coding region annotated. The transcript has 3 exons. NCBI's taxonomy places the organism in Eukaryota, Metazoa, Chordata, Actinopteri, Cypriniformes, Catostomidae. The record is from RefSeq and is a predicted model, not a curated record.